AGCAGCCGCGGUAAUUCCAGCUCCAAUAGCGUAUAUUAAAGUUGUUGCAGUUAAAAAGCUCGUAGUUGAAUUUCGGGAUCAAUUCGUCGGUCGUGCUUUUUGGUACGUACUGGCGUUAUUGGUUUCUCCCUUCUGACAAGCCAUGAUGUCAUUAAUUUGGUGUUAUGGGGAGUUAGGACUGUUACUUUGAAAAAAUUAGAGUGUUUAAAGCAGGCAUUAGCUUGAAUACAUUAGCAUGGAAUAAUGAAAUAGGACGUUCGAUCCUAUUUUGUUGGUUUCUAGGAUCAACGUAAUGAUUAAUAGGGAUAGUUGGGGGCAUUAGUAUUCAAUUGUCAGAGGUGAAAUUCUUGGAUUUAUUGAAGACUAACUACUGCGAAAGCAUUUGUCAAGGAUGUUUUCAUUAAUCAAGAACGAAAGUUAGGGGAUCGAAGACGAUCAGAUACCGUCGUAGUCUUAACCAUAAACUAUGCCGACUAGGGAUCGGAUGAUGUUAAUUUUUUAAUGACUCAUUCGGCGCCUUACG
Molecule: ribosomal RNA, 523 nt
Filed under: uncultured Glomus
Lineage: Eukaryota; Fungi; Glomeromycota; Glomeromycetes; Glomerales; Glomeraceae
Description: SSU rRNA
Rfam family: Eukaryotic small subunit ribosomal RNA
Source: RNAcentral